This is a long non-coding RNA of Oncorhynchus tshawytscha (Chinook salmon), 1743 nucleotides long. NCBI's taxonomy places the organism in Eukaryota, Metazoa, Chordata, Actinopteri, Salmoniformes, Salmonidae. The record is from Ensembl.
AUGCCUCUCUCUCGUUUUCACUCUCACUUUAUUUCUCAUUUUCUUUCUCUCUACCUCUCUCUAUUACUCUCUCUUUCCCACUAUUUAUAUAUUUCUCUGUCCCCCUCUUUCUCGCACACAGACAUGAUGAGAGGGGCUCUGAUUUCCCUUGCCCUGUGCCUUCCUCACCUCUUCGCCACUCUUGUCCUCCAUUCCACCAUUGCGGCUUCACCGAGCGCCACAGAAACCACAACAUCAGUUCUAGACCUUAGUAUCAGCACUCCAACAUCAGACCCCCUGAUGCUUCCACUCUCCACAACUGAAAACCACCCUGAUAGGUCUAGUGGAACGGCUAAAACACAAUUGAAGAAAAGCACUCGCUUAGCAGCUGUCAACAACUCAGGCAGAACGACUCAAGGAAGAGGCAUUCUCAGAACAGGAACUGCCACUUACGCCACCACAGCCGUACAGAAGAGCAACAGGCACACAACUGCAGGAGACUUGAGGAAGGAAACAGAGAGCCACAAUCACCAUGAGACUCUUCCCUUCAGCAGACACACAGCCUCACCCACAACUGACCACCCCAGCACCACCACUCUCCCCAGGGAGGAAGGGACUGAGUAUCAUGACAGCAGCAACAUUGAAAUAGCCAGAGAACUGAACACACCAAAUUCCAUAGAGAGUUGGGCUGCUGACACCAGUAAUGACUCCAAGCUAGCGAAGCCACACUUAGACAGAUCACAAGCAGCAGACCAGCACACUGCUACACAAGGACUAGAGACUGCUUCAGGAGAUUACCACACAACACAGAGAGACUUCUUCACAAUCACCCCAACUAGUAGAGCAUCAGGUUUGAACAGAGGUAAACAAAGUAAGGCCAACAGCGUCGCAACAACAACGACGGUUUCACCUACGUACACAGUCACACGUCCUGGUUUGUAUGAGCACAUGACCGUGACUUACAGGGCUACCGGCUACAAAACACAACCUGACGACACAAGCCAGUCUAAGGACUACACCACAGCCACAGUUUCGAUCCCCCAUGCUGACAAUAGCACAGCUCCAUAUAUCAAUGCAAACACAUUUACAGAUAAUAACACAGACAACUACACAGACACACUUUCAUACAGUAAUACCACAACCUCUAAUAAUUGUAACACAACAGUACAUUUGAAUAAGAAAACUCAUACUCAUUCCCUCGGACACAACCACACAAUCUCAGGCUAUGACAACAGGCUGAACAACACAACUGAAAACAAUGUGCAUCAUCGUCCUGAGUGCGGAGAGGCAGAUGAAAGGUCCCCACCAUUGCCUCCUGGCUCUACUAGACUGGUCUGUUUCAUUGUUCUGUGGGCUCUGGGAUUGACUGCUUCGGUCUUCCUUGGUCUCACCGUCUUCCUAUCUGUGCGUUUGCCAGUCCAGAGAGAGAGGGAGAGGAGAGUGAGGAGUGGAGGAGAGAAGGUGUCAGGGGUGGAUCUGGAGAAUCUGUGGGUUGACCAGAUAUCAUCGGUGGAGGAGAGGGUGGAAUUCUGGUACGCCAACGGCUCCACCAUGGGACCCGGCCAUAAACGGAGGGAGAGAGGGAGGGAGAGGGGGAAGGAGAGGGGGAGGAGGGAGCAGGGGAGGCAGAAAGGGGUAGAGUGUGACAACCUGUGGACUCAACCCAAAGUGACACUGGAGGACAUCACUGAUUUCUGGUAUGCAAAUGGAAGCGCGAUACCAGAAGAAACUACAGACCAAACAUUGUUGGAGACCUGUGUAUGA